GGGUUGAAGCUGAGAGAUUUAAACCUGAGAGGUUUGUUAAUAGCACAAUUGAAUUCAAAGGCACGGACUUUGAAUACAUACCAUUUGGUGCUGGAAGGAGGAUGUGUCCCGGAAUUGCAUUUGCCCUACCAAACAUUGAGCUACCUCUUGCUCAAUUACUUUACCGGUUUGAUUGGAAGCUUCCCAAUAAAAUGAAGAAUGAAGAACUAGAUAUGGCUGAGUCAUUUGGGAUUACUGUAGGUAGAAAACACGACCUAUAUUUAAUUGCUAUUAAUCGUCUCUGUAAUAUGUAUUAUCUAAGCAAACAAGUUCAGAAACGAUGUUCCUAAUAAAAUUUGUAGUGGUAAACUUUACAUAUAGGUUUACUAUAUGUCGUCUAAAAUUUAUGUAUGAUAUUUGUACCACAAAUAUAGAAUAUGUGUCAAGCAUUGCAUUUGGUUUAGCCUCUUGCUGAAUUAUUUUAUGAAUUUGAUUGAAAGCUUCCCAAUGGAAUGAAUAAUGAAGAACUUGAUAUGACUGAGAGUCAUUUGGGCAUACAGUCGGAAGAAAACAUGACCUAUGUUCGGAUCUUAUUAUUGAUCGUCUAUAAUAUUUGUAUUGUCCCUUUCAAAAUAAAAUAUUUGUAUUGUCUAAGCAAACAAGUUCACAAUGUGGUUAAUUUUCUUAUAUACUUUUAGCAAGGUGUAUGAAUCGUUGUUGACAUUUUUAUUAAGAUUCUACUUUUCACAUUAGAUAUUCAAUUUAGCUCGAAAAUCCCGGAAUUUCUUCAGUUAAUCAAUUUGUUCCAACUCCUUCAUCAAAUCAACAUAUGUUAAAGCAUUUGCAUCAUUUUGCACGCCUAUUUUAGGAAGGAUAAAGAUCUCUCUCUCUCCCUCCCUCCCCCACGUAGGACCACGAGAAAGAUGUAAUAAAUUUAGAGUAUACUGAAUUUCAUUUGUUUGUCAUGUCUCACUUGGUUCUCAGCAUUUGCAAACAUGUCGGUAAGUAUGUACGAGCAUGAAACAUUACAAUCACGUUAUUCAUUGCCUAUCCGAAAUAAAUAAUCAAUAAAAUAGUUUUGGUAUUCAUUAAUUUACCAAGCUUUCUUCAUGUUUUAACUUCAGAACACAAGGAAUGAACGAUGAAAGGAAUGCAGCGAUUGUAGUAAAUUUUAAUGUUUAUACUUUGUAUUCUAUUGGUUGGUCAAUGUUUGAAUUAUUGUGGAUUAUUAGUUAUUUUUUCCAUUAUUGGGUUUGUAUGCUUCCUGCAAGUGGGAGACUAUUGGAGUUGGUUUUGAAUUAAACAUUUUUAAAACAAGUCUCACAUUGUUACGUUUCUAAUCGGUUGAGAUUUGUGGUAAUAAAGAAACAUAGUAAACUUCAACUCUUUUGUGCUGUCAAUCAAAGGAGUUUAGUUUAUAUAUAUAUAGUGUGGACUAUUAUAAUUAAUAGUAUGUCCCAUGUCAAAUGUGAUUUUAGUAAAAAAAAUAUAUAUGUAUGUUUUGUAACAAUUAAUCAUACUCAAUUGUUUGACAGAUACGAAACAUAAAUAUAUUGCUGCUCACUCUCCAUAUUGACAUGCUCUUGGUUCUCAGAAUUUGCAAACAGCUUGUUUCAUGUUUUAACUUCAGGGAACACAAUGAAUAAACGCUGAAAGGAAUGCAGCGACAAAUUGUUCAAAGAGCGCUGCUAUACAACACGACAAACUCAACACACGAAUGCUACAUAAGUUGUUGAACGACACCCAAUUCACUUUAUUAAUAGAUUUCUUUAUGGUUAUUGAUGCUUUUGUAUAUAGUAGUAUAUUAAAAAACAAUGUUAAGCAAUAACUGACAUACAUCUUUGUGUUUAUGUACCCAAAUAAAUAGAUAUGUUUUUUGUACCAAAAAAAAAAAAAAAAGAUAUGUUUUUUUUACCUUGAAAUAAUUUAUCCUUUAGAAAUGGAAAAAAAAAAAAAAAAAAAAGAUGACUAGUCCCAAUUUUUUUCAAGUUAUAGGAUUCAUUUGGCUAAUAGCUUUUUAUAAUUUUUUUUAAUAUUAUAAGAUAUAUUGAGGAACAUGCUAGUUUUUGUUCUUUUUUACCAUUUUUGUAUUUUAUUUAUAUAAAUAUAUCUUUCAUCUAUUUAUCACAAACCAUAGUCUUUCUUACUCACCAAUACAUUUCUCUCUUAUGGUUCUUUCUACUUUCAUUUUCUUCAUCAUGUCUUCUCCUUAUCUUCUAGUAAAUACUAUUGUUUCGAUCAUAUAAAAAACCUUUUGCAAUGUAUAUAUCUUCAAAAAAGACAUUGGGAGGGUUGAAGAACCAACCCAACCAUUUUUUUACUUGGCUAAUGAUCCUACUCGAAAGGUGACUCAUAUUUGUUAUGCGGAGCUUUUGAUCUCGUUGGCAUCUGAUAAAUAUUUUGAUUAUUAUCAUGAAUAUAAACUACUUGAGCCUAACAUGGAAGUACAAAACAUGUUUGUUAAACAAGAGUUUGAAUUAGAAUCACAUGAUUCUCCCCUUUAUGUUAAAUGGAUGUCGGCGAAGCACUAGGACUCAGUCAAGCAUUGUAGUGAAUGGCUAAUUUGUGUUUUGAUAGCACGAAUUGUUCUCUUGAUUCGAAGAUCGUCGUCAAUGCUUUUAAUGGUGAUAACAAUAAUAAUAACGAAUUUGGCAACAUUAUUCAUCAUUGUAAGUAACAUUUUUUUAACAACUCGAAAAUUUAGUUUAACCAGAGACAAUCAAAUGAUGUCGCUCAUAUAUUAGCACAUGUAGCCUCGUUAGAAGCUAGUUGUUAAGUUCUUACUGAUUAUCUUAUAAUUAUAUAAGUCAACAAAAAAUUGUUGUUGCUAAUUAAAAAGCUUAUGUCUCUUUCAAAAUCUAAACCUCGACAACCUCUUUUCCUAAGUAUGCAACGUGGCUAAACAAAAGUCAAAGUUCAAACAACCCAACUCGUGUUAUUUCUUUCUACAAAAAAAAGAAAAAAAGUAAAUCGAAGAACAAAAUCAGAACAACAACAAUAACAACAAAGUUCUCCAUUUCCAACACUUCCGAGAUCCCACUGAACUGAUCCACCACAGGUACAUCCUCCCUCUUCAGUUUCCCUUUCUCUCAUCUUCUGUUAAUAACUAUAGUAGUUUAUUUUUAUGUAAAUUCACUAUUACCCUCUAAUCUUUGGUCUAUUUAGUUUUUUGUUAAACUCAAAAUAUUAAUGAUGUUUUUUUUACGCUUACAAGAAUAAAAAGCAUGCAUUAAAUAAACUUUAGCCUUAAUUACAAUUUUAAUUUCUUUAUUUUUAUUUUUCAGUUAUUCAUGGAAUUGGGCGUCCCAUUUUAAUAUCAUUCAUUUGUUUAUCCCUCCAUCAAUUUUUUUUAAUUAAAAUUGGUGAUUUGAUAUAUUUUAAAUGAUGUGACAUUCUCUAAAAAAAAUAAAUUAUGUGACAUAUAACUUGAUAACGUGCCGUGGUCAACACUCAUGAAAUUAUAUAAUAACUCGUUAAAAACUUUAGUUUCAACUUUAGUAUAUCAUUUUUUAAGUACCAAAAUUUGAUUGAGGAACCAAAAUCUAGGAAAUCAAUUUCGUGAAUUACUGAAAAUGUAGAGGGAUCAAAACUGUAAUUAAAUAAAAAAAAAUUAUCAUUACUAAAUAAAUUAUGAGUAAAAAUGUCUAAACUUUAUUAUUUCUUACUAUAUGUUUUAAAAUAUUAAAGGACCGAUUAGCAGGGGUGGUUGAGAUAUUAUGUUUUCCAGCCCCCGUAUAAUAGGUUUCUAGAUCCGUCCUUAGGUCCAGUAGUGAUUGUCGUAUACCGCAAAAGGUUUAACUGUACUAAGCCAAAAAAUUUAAGAAGACUAGAAUAUAGUUAGUUUUAUAUUAACAUACUUUAGUGGUUGAAAGGAAUGAACUAGCUAUCAGAAUGAUAAUGAACUAGAAACUUAUAGGUUCCUCAUCAAAUAAAUCCUUAAAAAAAAAAACAUUAAAAAACAACUAAAAUAUACCUUUUAAAAAAAACUAUUCGAGCAUGCAUAAUUUUCUUUGGUAAAUAUAUGAUAAAAGGUUGCAUAAAUGUUUGAUAUGAUGAGAUGGAGAUUCAAACUCUUAAUUCCACAUUUCUCUAUGCUUAAUUUGUGUGUGAGUGUGAAUUUUGUUGUUAAAUAACAUAGUUUGAACGUAGACUUUUUGGAAGAAAAGAAAACGACAUAUAUAUUUUGAUCCUUCAACCACAAUUAAACUAUAUAUAGUGCCUUGGAAGUACAAGCGAAAGGUCUAAUAAUUUAUUUUAAUCGCAAUUGGUUGAUACAAAUAAUCCCAAAAUAUGAUGAUGUACCUUGAAGCCUUUUUGUUGUAUCUUUUGCACAUAUACCAUCAUCUAGGCAUUUCAUUUUUUCCUUCAGGGUCAAGCUAUCUCAUGGAGCUUCACAACCAUUUUUUUAAUAUCACCUUCAUUUCCUUCUUUAUCUUCCUCUUGGUGUUAUUCAAAAUAGUCAAAAUAUGGAGUUAUAACACUUCCACGGUUAAUUUGCCACCAGGACCAUGGAAACUACCCUUCAUAGGAAACUUACAUCAGAUUAUCAGCAGAUCAUUGCCCCAUCACCGUUUUAAAUUUUUGGCAGAUAAAUAUGGACCCUUGAUGUACCUGAAAUUAGGAGGGGUGCCAUACGUAAUAGUUAGUUCACCAGAAAUUGCCAAAGAGAUUAUGAAAACACAUGAUCUCAACUUUAGUGGUAGGCCAAACCUUCUUUUGUCUACAAUAUGGAGUUACAAUGCUACUGAUGUUAUAUUCUCGAUAUAUGGAGAACGGUGGAGGCAACUACGAAAGAUAUGUGUUAUAGAACUAUUAAGCGCAAAGCGUGUCCAAUCAUUUAGGUCUAUAAGAGAAGAUGAAGUGACAAAUCUUGUUAAAUCAAUAACUGCAAGUGAAGGAUCAGUUGUUAAUCUCACUCAGAAGAUUUUGUCAACGACAUAUGGGAUAACAGCGCGAGCGGCUUUUGGGAAAAGGAGCAAACACCAAGAAGUGUUUAGAUCAGCAAUAGAGGAAGUAGCAAGUUUGUUGGGAGGCGUUUGUAUUGUGGAUUUGUUUCCUUCUAUUAAAUUGCUUCAAUGCUUGAGUAGAGCGAAGACCAAAAUGGAAAAACUUCACAAAGAGCUUGAUAUGACAUUGCAAGACAUCAUCGACGAUCACAAAAGCAUUCACAAGGAAGAAAGCAAUGAUGAAGAUCUAGUAGAUGUUCUUCUCAAGAUUCAACAGGAAAAUUAUCACUCACAACAUCCUUUAACUGAUGACAAUAUAAAAUCAAUCAUCCAGGUUAGUCCACAACCAAAAUUGUAAGCAAGUUUAUUUCACAAUUUUAAAACUAGUCAGAUUUCCUAGAGGAAAAAAAACAAGAUUAUCUUGACUGUUAAUAGUAUUUUGGAGAGAACAUCAAAUUAAUGACUUAAUUUUUGGGUAGUGUUGUACGGAAGAAAAUGCAUGUUGAUUUAGAGAGUAGAUAGUGUUAAUGUUAAUCCAUUUGCAGGACAUGUUUGGUGCUGGUACUGAAACAUCGUCAGAGGCUGUGAUUUGGGCGAUGUCUGCGAUGGUAAAAAACUCAAAUGUAAUGGAACAAGCACAAGCUGAAGUAAGAAGAGUGUUUGAUAAAAAGGGAUAUGUGGAUGAGACAGAGUUGUACCAAUUGAUAUACUUAAAGUCUGUCAUCAAAGAAACAUUGAGGUUGUAUCCUGUUGCUCCAUUGUUAGUUCCAAGAGAAAGUAGGGAGAGAUGCCAAAUCAAUGGUUAUGAGAUUCCAGCCAAGACAAGGGUUGCUGUCAAUGCUUGGGCUAUUGGAAGAGAUCCAAGGUAUUGGGUUGAAGCUGAGAGUUUUAAACCUGAGAGGUUUGUUAAUAGCCCAAUUGAUUUCAAAGGCACGGACUUCGAAUUCAUACCAUUUGGUGCUGGAAGGAGGAUGUGUCCAGGUAUUGCAUUUGCCUUGCCCAAUGUUGAGCUGCCUCUUGCUAAGUUACUUUAUCACUUUGAUUGGAAGCUUCCCAAUGGAAUGAAGAAUGAAGAAUUGGAUAUGACUGAGUCAUUUGGGAUUACUGCAGGUAGAAAACACGAUCUAUGCUUAAUUCCUAUCCCUCGUCGUUUUUAAUAUGUAUUGUCUAAGCAAACAAGUUCAGAAACGAUGUUCCUAAUAAAAUUUGUAUUGGUUAUCUUUACAUAUAAGUUUCACCAGUGUAACAUUGAUGGAAAAAACAUUACAUUGAUGAAACAUGAGGAUAAUAUUACGUCGUUCAAUAACGUUUUACUCAAUACAUAUUUUAUAAAAUUGACUAUUGUAUUGAAUGUUUAUAUGGUAUAAACCACCUCUAUAAAUUUUUGCAUGAAUCUAAAUCAUUUCAUAUGCUAUUAAGGUGCAUAAAAAUUAACAUAAACGGAGGUGCAAAAUUUCAUAAAAGCUAUUGUUUAUAAUUUAUAUGAAUUAGCGCAAUAAGUAGAUGGAACAACAGGAGUGCCUCCUGUCUAAAUGCUAGUGAUUAAUAAAUAAUUUUAAUAAUCACUUAAUAGUUAACAUUUAAAAGAUAUUAAAAAUUGUACUUCUUUCGCGUAGUAGUUUAUGGCAUAUUCUCUUCCUUCCUUUUUCAUUUCUUGCUCUAUUUCUUUGUAAAGAUCUAAGAUUAUCCUGUAGAGAAACUUCAUAUAAUCUGGAAGAGUAUCCAAACAACUAAUAUCCCACCUGAAAUACUUUCAACAAAAUUAGAGAAAAAAAUGAAUAUAAAAAAAUGCAUCAUAUGUAUCAUCAAUCACAGUUACUAUGACGAUUAAUUUCGUCAUAUUUUUCUUGCUGUAGAAUAUUGAGGCUCAUGAUAUACCCCAAGUCCCCAAAAGCAACUCUCUGCUAUUCUAUCUCGUGCGUAUGGUAGUUUAUCGGGAACUUCCAAUUCCUUCCACCAUCUAUAAAGAUCAAGAACAAAAUUUAAGGAAAUAUUUUUUUUUUGGAUUUCUUAACAUGUACCCUAAGGGCAUAAGUUAACACUACCCUAAUAGUAAAUACAAAGUACGGUCUUUGAAGUAUAUUGAUUAUUUUCCUUUUCCUUACAAAAUAGUGUAUGGUUCGUUGAAGAUCUUACUUGUAAAAGUUACUAAAUUCCUUUUGAUGUAAACUUUGGAGCAUAUUGAAAUCUAGUUUUGCCAAAAUGAGUAAAUUUUUGUUAUGUGAAGGAUCUUGCUCAUAUAUAGAAAUGUAGUUUCGUGCCUCCAACCUAGGCAAGUUUUUAUGGAGGGUCUGCCUUAAGCAAUGUUUGACUUGUAAUGCUUGAGGAUGAGGAUGGUUCAAUUGCUUGGUAAUAGACUCAAGGUGAGUGGUAGUGAAAACCAAGGCCUCUUCCAAAAUGUCCUCUCCAUGAACCAUGACAUGUGUGGCUUCAUAAAAGCUUAAAAUCCCCUCAACAUUUGUAAUAAAUUUUUGACUAAAGUUUCCUUGCUCAUCCUUGAAUUUGUUGAAUACAUCUAGUAUUUUUUUAUAACCAACCACAGAAUUGAACAAACCGCACUUAGCGACAAUGAGAUUUUAGAUAAUUAAAGCAAGAACUAAUCAUCAAGAUUCGAUAUUUCUUAAAAAAAAAAAAAAAAAAAAAACUAGGUAAUAACAAGUUGUGAAGUGGUAUGAGGUGAACAUGCUAUAAUAAAUCAUAAGAGGCAUGACUCCCGAAGCGAUAAGAGGUUGUGAUAAUAGAAACUCUUAAUGAGAUCUAUACUCUAUGUGGAGUGUAGUAUCUAGCUACAAGAGUACUCUUGAUAGACUCACAUUUGUGAAUGUGGAAGUGGGGCCCCCUUCCUAUGGAAUUCUAGACAAAAUUCCUAGAGCCUCAUUAAACCGGAAUUGAUUUGCAGAGCCUUUAAUGCAUGAACUUUUUGAGAAUACACCUAAGAAAAGGUUGUCUAUGGUUUGAUGUCAGAAAUAGAGUUCAAGACUACGAGUCACUCUAGUAAAAUAUGAAUCUUAUUCAGUACGCAAAGGUUCAAGUCAUAAGACACCCUUGCUUAUGAACAAUUUUAGAAGGCAAAGGUUCAAGUCGUAAAACACCUUUGCUUAUAAAAUAUUAAUAGAAACAUCAUUUUUAAAUUCAAGUGGGGGAUUGUUGGAACACUAUAUGUGUUUGUAUGUGAAUUGAAAAAUUCCUAUGUCUCAUAUAAAAUAGAUUAUACACAAUACUAGUGUUUUUUUUGUCAAGUAGUCUAGUGGCUAGAGCUCACACAAUUUAAUUGUGGAGAAGUGGAGUGUCCGGGGUUCGAACUCCGACCCCUGCAUAUAAAAUGCAAUAUCCCUACCAACUGUUACUAUACAUCAUUGUAAAAUAAAAUAUGUAUUUGUUCAAUCACAUCUUAUAACAAUAAAUGAUUAUGGUGAUCAAAAUGUUAUAAAUUGGUAUAACAAAGUGACAAAAUAAAGAGUUGUUCAAGACUUUUGUUGAGGUAUGUAGAAUAAUUUUUACGUCGAGAGUACAUAUUAAUUCAACAAAAUUAGUAUUAUGUUAUUAUUAUUUUUAUUAUACAUAUACUCACAUAUACUCCAAUCCAUUAGUAUCACUUAGCUCUAUUUUUAACUUACUUUAAGUAGAUAAUACCGUUAAUUGGUGUAGAGUUUUGUAGGUUUACUCAAAAAUAGAAAGUUGGGUACCUUGACUUGAAUAGUUGAAUUGAUAUGAUCUUAUUUUUUCUAACUUUUUCUAUAAAAUCAUAUUUAUCAGAUUCUAACUCCAACAUUCAAGAAACAUAUCAAAUCAAAUUACUGUGGAGGAAAGCUUAAUUGACUACCUUUUGCUGGUUUUACAACACAAUAAUUAAUAAAAAUAACGGCACAUGAGAUAUCUUUUAAGUAAAAUUCUAAUAAGUGUUUUUUGAACACUAGUUUUAAAAAAUUAAUAUAAUAUCUUAAUACUGGUUUAACCAAAGUUUUAAAAAUAUAAAAAACAAUAUUUUUAAUUUAAUAAUUUUCUUUUUUGGUUCUUUAACUAAUGUCACAUAGACACUAGUUAACAUUAUCAUAUUUAAUUUUGAUUUGAGAACAUGCCACAUGCAUAAAAAUUGUAUGGUAGCCAAACAAUAGUUUGCAUGAGAACGAUAGCCGAAUAAAAAAUGUUAAUUUCAUCAUAUGCUCCGAAGGCUGUGCUCUUGUUCUUUAUUGCUAUCCAUCAAAUCAAAGAAUUUAAAUAGCGAAUUUUCAUUUUCGUAUAAUUUGCCAGCGUGCCUAUCAAACAAAAGUAUGUCUUGAAUUUUCAUUUAUUUUAAGGAAAAAGUAUGUCUUGAAAUUGUCAACGUGAUUACAAAUGAUAAAUAAAAUUUCUCAAAAUUACUUACUAUUAAUUGAUCCUAUACAAAAAUGCACACAUGAAGAUAGUCUUGUAUAUAUCUAUAUAUCUAUAUGCGAUGACUAGGAAAUAAAGCAAAUGCUUCACUUUGCUAUUUAUGAAAUGAGCAACUGUAUAUAAUGAAGUUUUAAUUUUGUUCACUAAUACUAGAAUAUGUCAUUACAUUUAAUUCAUAAACACUCUAAAAUUAUUGCAUUUUAUAAAUUAGGAGACUAAAUUAAGGGAACAAAUAUACCUACAAAUUGCAGAAUUAUGACCCACAUUAAACCUGCUAUAUGAUCAAGCGAAAGGUGUAAUAAUAUAUUUUAAUCGCAAUUGGUUAAUACAAAUACAAAAUAUAUUACAAAUGGAAGUAUGAGUCAGCCUCAAAUUGAUGUAUGUAGUAGUAUCAAUUUAAUAAGCCAAACAACUCAAUGAUUGCAAACUAAUUAUCAAUAUGAUUUUGAUUAAUUAAUUUAAUGGUUAGAAUUCACGUGUUAAGAUGAAAAAGUAGGGUUUUAUUUUUUAUUUUUUUUAUGUACAUCAUAUUUUUCAAAUUUUAUGUCAUGUGGAUAAUUUUAUAAAUUUUUUAAAAUAUAAUCAAUUUUAUAUAAGAACAAAAAAUUGUGUAUUAUUUAACAAAAUUAUCCUUCAUUAACGUGAUUUUUUUUUUCAUUAACGUGAUAGAAAAUAGGGGCGGUUAUGCACAUACUUUUUUUUUCAUAUAAUAAAAAAAGAGAAAUGAUAUAUGAACAAUCAUUUUUACAAUUUUUGUGACAACUUUCUUUCUCAUACUCACAUUAUCUUUGUACUUUCUCUCUCUAUUACUUUGGUUUUUGUGUCAAUACCUCAUUUCCUUUGUAAAAUUUUGGUUGUCACAAAAAUUGUCACAUAUAUGGAUAUUCAAAUAACACAACUCAUAAAAAAAAUAUUAUUCUCGUAGUUGAUGGAAGGAAAAAAUAUUAUAUUUUUCGUUGUAUUCUGCUUUAGAUCUAAUUGUAUCUCUUUGCUAAUAUUUAUUAAUUUUGUUUAGUAUUAUUAUUAGUAUUGAAACUGCAGAUUGUCACGUAAGUCUUUUGCACAACCAUCUUUCUUGGCAUAUCUUUUCUUACUCCAGGGUCAAGCUAUCUCAUGGAGCAUCACAACCAUCUUUCUAAUAUUACCUUCAUUUCCUUCAUUAUCUUCCUCUUGGUGUUAUUCAAAAUAGUCAAAAUAUGGAGUUAUAACACUUCCACGGUUAAUUUGCCACCAGGACCAUGGAAACUACCCUUCAUAGGAAACUUACAUCAGAUUAUCAGCAGAUCAUUGCCCCAUCAUCUCUUCAAAAUUUUGGCAGAUAAAUAUGGACCUCUAAUGCACCUUAAACUAGGAGAGGUACCAUACGUAAUAGUUAGUUCACCAGAAAUUGCCAAAGAGAUUAUGAAAACACAUGAUCUCAACUUUUGUGAUAGGCCAAACCUUCUUUUGUCUACAAUAUUUAGUUACAAUGCUACUGAUGUUAUAUUUUCGAUGUAUCGAGAAUGGUGGAGGGAACUACGAAAGAUAUGCGUUAUAGAACUAUUAAGUGCAAAGCGCAUCCAAUCAUUUAGGUCUAUAAGAGAAGAUGAAGUGACAAAUCUUGUUAAAUCAAUAACUUUUAAGUGAAGGAUCAGUUGUUAAUCUCAGUGAGAAGAUUUUCUCAAUGACAUAUGGGAUAACAGCGAGGGCGGUUUUUGGGAAAAGGAAUAGACACCAAGAUGUGUUCAUACCAGCAUUGGAGAAAGUAGUGGUGCUAUUAGGAAGAUUUGAAAUUGCAGAUUUGUAUCCUUCUAUUAAAUUGCUUCAAUGGAUGACUAGGGAGAAGACCAAAAAUGUUAUAUUUUAAAUAAGAAACUUUGUUGAAGAAGUUAUUUCAAAAAUCUAGCAUUAAAGUUGUUUAAUGCUGAAAAUGAUUGAAGUAUAAAUAUGAGAAUUUUUUCUGACCCCAAACGUUUAAAAAAAAAAAAAAGUGUCUAUACUUUGUUCAGAUUUAAUGAUAAAAACACGUUUGUCAUAAAAAUGGUUCACCGGUGAUAAGUUCGCAAGAUGUGUCUUAUAACAUAAAAAACAUAAUGCUAUGUUUGCCGGUUAUUUUUACAACAGAAGCAUUUUUAUCAUUAAAUCUUAACAAAGACUAAAAGAGCAUACACAUGCAUUAUUAUUUUUUGUUUGGGGGUUAGAAAAAAAAAUCUAAAUAUGAAAAAGAACAUUCUUAGAGAAUCUUUGCAAAAAGGGUAGAUUAAAAGCUUGUUGAAUCCAAUUAAUUUUCCAGCACCAUAUCAAAGUUUUCAUUUAGACCAAUGAGAGAGAGCUCCACAAAGCAUCAUUAACAAAAAUGGUAUUGUUUCACGAGUUUGAAAGACUUUUUGGUAUUUUUUUCACGUUCACAUGACACCAAAAGACAAAAAUGUACUACCAUACCACUUUUAGAAAUUUUUAGGUGGCAACGUAAAAGAAGAUAUCUUUCUGACGAGUUUUACACGACGUUUGAAGGUUAUGUUUGCAUAGAACCCCAACUUCAAUUGAUAAUAUAUAUAAUGAAAGCUCAACAGACAUAAGCAUAAGGUGUUUUGGAAAUUUGUCCAUAAUCCAAAAAUAAUUCAGAUUUUUUAUUCCGGUAAGGAUGAUUGAUUGGGUGAUAAUAAUGACAUAUAAUUACAAGUCUACCUAAACCCUAUUUUUUAUUCUUGUGUAGUGGUUGUUUUAUUUUGACUCCACAAGCACACCUUGUUCUUCAUGUGUGUGUGUCUUUUUAUUAAAUUGCUUUGGAUUGGAUGGUAUCAAUAUUUUUAAUUAUAUGUGAUUAUUGGAGCUCCUAUUUUUGACCACACAAGGCACACCUUAUUCCUUCAUGUGUGUCUUUAUUAAACUGCUUUGUAUUGCAAAUAUAUAAAAAUAUUAAAAAACAGGCACAUGGUUGGUGCAAGGUGAAAAUGUUAUUUAUAAUAUUUCUUUACAUUAGAACGUGUAUCUUAAUGUUAAUACUGUAUUGAUUUUAUAUUAGUAUUUAGUUGUGUAUUAAUUAACAUGUCUGCAUUGUAUUGAAAUUGCAAGUGAUCGAAUUUUGAGCGUUUUGAAGAGAAACCUUGUUUGUCAAGGCACUCUUUGGAUUCUUUAGAUCAAACAACCAACAUGGAGCUUCACAACCCUUUUUCUAAUAUCAUCUUCAUGCUCUCCUUUCUCAUCCUCUUAGUGCUAUUCAAAAUAGUUAAAAGAUGGAGUUUUAACAAUUCCACUACCAAAUUGCCACCUGGACCAUGGGAACUACCCCUCAUAGGAAACUUACAUCAGAUUAUCAGCAGAUCAUUGCCCCAUCACCGCUUCAAAAUUUUGGCUGAUAAAUAUGGACCUUUAAUGCACCUUAAACUAGGAGAGGUACCAUACAUAAUAGUUAGUUCACCAGAAAUUGCCAAAGAGAUUAUGAAAACACAUGACCUUACCUUUAGUGAUAGGCCAAACCUUCUUUUGGCCACAAUAUUAACUUACAAUGCUACUGAUGUUAUAUUCUCUAAAUAUGGAGAACGGUGGAGGCAACUACGAAAGAUAUGUGUUGUAGAGCUAUUAAGUGCAAAGCGUGUCCAAUCAUUUAGGUCCACAAGAGAAGAUGAAGUAUCAAAUCUUGCUACAUCAAUAACUGCAAGUGAAGGAUCAAUUGUUAAUCUCACUCAUAAGAUUUUCUCAAUGACAUAUGGGAUAACAACGCGGGCGGCUUUUGGCAAAAGGAGCAAACACCAGCAAUCGUUUAAAUCAGCAGUAGAGGAAAUAGUAAGUUUGUUGGGAGGCAUUUGUAUUGUUGAUUUGUAUCCUUCUAUUAAAUUGCUUCAAUGCGUGAGUAGGGCGAAGGCCAAAAUGGAAAAACUUCACAAAGAGAUUGAUAUGAUAUUGCAAGACAUUAUCGACGAUCACAAAAGCAUUCACAAGGAAGAUAGCAAUGAAGAAUAUCUAGUAGAUGUUCUUCUCAAGAUUCAACAGGAAAAUUAUCACUCACAACAUCCUUUAACCGAUGACAAUAUAAAGUCAAUCAUCCAGGUUAGUCAACAAUCAAAAGUGUUAGAAAGUUUAUUUCAAAAUUAAAAACUAGUUUAUAAAUUUGCAUAUAUGCUUAGAAGUCAGAUUUCCUAGAGGAAGAAAAUAAGAUUAUCUUGAUUAAUAAUAGUAUUUUGGUGAGAACAUCAUAUUAAUGACUUAACUUUUGUUUAGAGAAAUAGAUCGUGUUAAUGUUAAUCCAUUUGUAGGACAUAUUCGAUGCUGGUACCGAAACAUCGUCAACGACUGUGUUAUGGGCGAUAUCUGAGAUGGUAAAGAAUCCAAAGGUGAUGGAAGAAGCACAAGCUGAGGUAAGAAGAGUUUUUGAUAGGAAGGGGUUUGUGGAUGAGACAGAGUUGCACCAAUUGAUAUACUUAAAAUCUGUGAUCAAGGAAACAAUGAGGCUACAUCCAACCGUACCGUUGUUACUUCCAAGAGAAAGUAGGGAGAGAUGCCAAAUCAAUGGGUAUGAAAUCCCAGCUAAGACAAGGGUCAUGGUUAAUGCUUGGGCUAUUGGAAGAGAUCCAAGGUAUUGGGUUGAUGCUGAAAGUUUUAAACCUGAGAGGUUUGUUAAUAGUCCAAUUGAUUUCAAAGGCACAGACUUUGAAUACAUACCAUUUGGUGCUGGAAGAAGGAUGUGUCCCGGAAUUGCAUUUGCCUUACCCAACGUUGAAUUGCCUCUUGCUAGUUUACUUUACCACUUUGAUUGGAAGCUUCCCAAUAAAAUGAAGAAUGAAGAACUAGAUAUGACCGAGUCAUUUGGGAUUACUGCAGGUAGAAAGCACAAUCUAUGCUUAAUUCCUAUUACUCGUCGUCUUUAAUAUGUAUUGUCUAAGCAAACAAGUUCAGAAACGACGUUCCUAAUAAAAUUUGUAUUGGUUAUCUUUACGUAUAGGUUCACUAUAUGUUGUCUAAAAUUUGUGUAUGAUAUUUGUUCCACAAACAAAUAUAGAAUUUAUGUUGAAAGGAAGUUGCGAACUAUUUGUACAGUAUUGUGUAAUACAUUAACCAGAGAAGAAUCUUUUCCUUGACUGCCAAGGAAGAAAUCCACCUAAAAUCGAUAGCAUAUGAAGAAUGAAGAAGGGUUGUGAGGCAAUCAACAUCACACAAGUAACUUACCUUAAAAAAAUAGAGAAACAAUAAAUCAAUGAGAAGUAAUUAACAAUGCUUAUAUAGGACCAUAAUCAUAAAUAUAUAAAAAUGCUAAAUCCAUAUUAAUGGUUAUGAAAUCUAAUUCUUCCUCUCUGUUAAUCUUGUACUUUACACUAAUAGUGGUAGCUUUCCCUAUAUGGGUCUUAUAACAAUAACAUAAAAAACAUAAUGCUAUGUUCGCCAGUUCAUUUUUACAACAGAAGCAUUUGUAUCAUUAAAUCUAAAUAUGAAAAAGAACAUUCUUGGAGAAUCUUUGCAAAAAGGGUAGAUUAAAGGCUUGUUGAAUCCAAUGAAUUUUCCAGCACCAUUUCAAAGUUUUCAUUUAGUCCAAUGAGAGAUCAACAAUGCAUCAUUUACAAAAAUUGUAUAUUGAGAAUGUGAUAUAUAUAUAUACACGAUGCAAUAAACACUUGCCAACUGUAUUUUGAAAUCUUCGCUAUGCUAUCUCUCGCUGUAAAUAGCAUUUUCCUAUAAUUAAUUUGGCAUAAAAGUCUAAUCAUGAUUAUGUUUCGUGUGAUACAUGAGUGCUUGGAAAGAUUAGUGUUAGGAAAGAGUGAUAUUACAAAUGAGUGAAUCAACCCACUAAUGGGAUGGUUACAACCAUAUAUACUACUACAAGACUAAUACUAAUUGUGUCUAAACUAUAUCUCUAAUAAUUAGUGAUAGUUGAGAUGAAAGUUUUCUCAACUAUCAGAUCUUCUUUCUUAGAUCACCCUUUGAUCUUUACAUAAGAAAAAUGCUAUUUACAGCGAGAGAUAACAUAGCGAAGAUUUCUAGAUACAGUUGGCAAGUGUUUAUUGCAUCGUGUAUUUGUUUACUUCCUAUUUUUCAGCCACACCUCCUUGAAUUGUGUCAAAUAGCACAUUGUGAUUGGCUGCUCUUUAUUCUUGAAGAGAUCGUGAUGUUAUUUUUCUAGAGAUAUAGCAUUGCUCUUAAUUAUGUUCGCAUAGUAGCCCUGUCUCUUUUGAGGCAAGGGCGAGGGUUUGGUUGUUGCUCUCGUAGUUGCACUCUUAUCCUUUGAAGUUGAUAAAUGAAACCAACUUCAAUUGACAACAUAAUGAAAGCUCAACAGACAUAAGCAUAAGGUGUUUUGGAAAGUGGCCAUAGUCCAAAAUUAAUUCAGUUUUUUUUUUUAUUUCUUUUCCGGUAAGAAUGAUUGAUUUGGUGAUAAUGACAUGACAUAUAAUUACAAGUCUAACAAGACCCUAUUUGAAAAAAGAUAGAUUACCAAAUGGAGUGCUGAAAUCACUAGUGUCUUUUGGUUUAACUAUGUAGUGUUACUAUUAAUUUUUACUAUUUUUACACUAAGCUCUUCAAAAUGUUAGUGGAUGAUUUUUUCAUGUGCAUAAUACAAAAAAUAUGAAAUUUGCAUGAGUCAGCCUAAAAUUGAAAGGAUCAAUUUAAUAAGCCCUUGAAGACGGGAAGAUGACAAUCGAGUCUGGCAUGGUGUGCUGCAAUUUAAUUAACUCUUAAUCGCAAAUUAUUAAUGUGAUGGUGUUGUUUGUUUUAUUUUGACUCCACUAAGUACACCUUGUUCUUUAUAUGUGUGUGUCUUUCUACUAAGUUGCUUUGGAUUGGAUGGUAUCAAUAUUUUUUAAGUAUAUGUGCUUAGGUUGUUCUAUUUUUGACCACACAAAGCACACCUUAUGAUUCAUGUGUGUCUUUAUUAAAUUGCUUUGCAUAUAUUAAAAGAAAUAAAAAUAAACAACAGGCACAUGGUUGGUGCAAGGAGAAAAUGUUAUUUAACAUGUCUGCAUUAUAUUGAAAUUGCAAGUGAUCUAAUUUUGAGUGUUUUGCAUAGAAAUCUUCUUUGUCAAGGCACUCUUCAGAUUCUCUAGAUCAAGCUACCAUCAUGGAGCUUCAAAAUCCUUUUUCGAAUAUCAUCUUCAUUCUCUCCUUUCUCAUCCUCUUAGUUCUAUUCAAAAUAGUUCAAAGAUGGAGUUUUAACAAUUCGACUACCAAAUUGCCACCAGGACCAUGGAAACUACCCCUCAUAGGAAACUUACAUCAGAUUAUCAGCAGAUCAUUGCCCCAUCAUCUCUUCAAAAUUUUGGCAGAUAAAUAUGGACCUCUAAUGCACCUUAAACUAGGAGAGGUACCAUACGUAAUAGUUAGUUCACCAGAAAUUGCCAAAGAGAUUAUGAAAACACAUGAUCUCAACUUCUGCGACAGGCCAAACCUUCUUUUGUCCAAUAUAUAUAGUUACAAUGCUACAGACAUUGCCUUCGCUGCAUACGGUGAACAUUGGAGGCAAUUACGAAAGAUAUGUGUUAUAGAGCUAUUAAGUGCAAAGCGUGUACAAUCAUUUAGGUCCAUAAGAGAAGAUGAGGUGUCAAACCUUGUUAAAUCAAUAACUGCAAGUGAAGGAUCAGUUGUUAAUCUCACUCGGAAGAUUUUCUCAAUGACAAAUGGGAUAACAGCGCGGGCAGCUUUUGGGAAAAGGAAUAGACACCAAGAUGUGUUCAUACCAGCAUUGGAGAAAGUAGUGGUGCUAUUAGGAAGAUUUGAAAUUGCAGAUUUGUAUCCUUCUAUUAAAUUGCUUCAAUGGAUGACUAGGGAGAAGACCAAAAUGGAAAAACUUCAUACAGAGAUUGAUAUGAUAGCACAAGACAUCAUCGACGAUCACAGAAGUAUUCACAAGGAAGCAAGCAAUGAUGAAGAUCUAGUAGAUGUUCUUCUCAAGAUUCAACAGGAAAAUUAUCACUCAGAACAUCCUUUAACCGAUGACAAUAUGAAAUCAAUCAUCCAGGUUAGUCUAAACCGAAAGUGUUAGCAAGUUUAUUUCACAAUUUAAAAACUAGUUUACAAAUUUGCAUACGCUUAGAAGUCAGAUUUCUAGAGGAAAAAUAAAUAAGAUUAUCUUGAUUAAUAAUGCUCAUUCCGUCCCUAUAUCUAAGCAGUAAGCACCCUUUUAUUAGAGGGAAAGGGUGCUUACAUACAGGGACGGGGGGAGUAGUAUUUUGGAGAGACGUCAAAUUAAUGACUUAACUAUUGGGUAGCGUUGUAUGUAAUGUUAAUGUUAAUCCAUUUGUAGGACAUGUUCCUUGCUGGUACCGAAACAUCGUCACAGGUUCUGUUAUGGGCGAUGUCUGAGAUGGUGAAGAACCCAAAGGUAAUGGAAGAAGCACAAGAUGAAGUAAGUAGAGUGUUUGAUAAAAAGGAGUAUGUGGAUGAGACAGAGUUGCACCAAUUGAUAUACUUAAAGUCCGUCAUCAAAGAAACAUUGAGGUUGCAUCCCGUUGCACCAUUGUUAGUUCCAAGAGAAAGUAGGGAGAGAUGCCAAAUCAAUGGGUAUGAAAUCCCAGCUAAGACAAGGGUAAUGGUUAAUGCUUGGGCUAUUGGAAGAGAUUCAAGGUAUUGGGUUGAAGCUGAGAGUUUUAAACCUGAGAGGUUUGUUAAUAGUCCAAUUGAUUUCAAAGGCACGGACUUCGAAUUCAUACCAUUUGGUGCUGGAAGAAGGAUGUGUCCAGGUAUUUCAUUUGCCAUACCCAAUGUUGAGCUGCCUCUUGCUAAGUUACUUUAUCACUUUGAUUGGAAGCUUCCCAAUGGAAUGAGCCAUCAAGAACUUGAUAUGACUGAGUUUUUUGGGAUUACUGUAGGUAGAAAACACGACCUAUGUUUAAUUCCUACUACUCGUCGUCUUUAAUGUGUAUUAUCUAAGCAAACAAAUUCAAAAACAAUGUUCCUAAUAAAAUUUGUAAUGGUAAACUUUACAUAUAGGUUUACUAUAUGUCGUCUAAAAUUUGUGUAUGAUUGUACCACAAAUAUAGAAUAUGUGUCCAAGCAUUGCAUUUGGUUUAGCCAAUGUUGAACUGCGUCUUGCUGAAUUACUUUAUGACUUUGAUUGAAAGCUUUCCAAUGGAAUGAAUAAUGAAGAACAGUCGUUUGGGCUGACAGUCGGAAGAAAACACGACCUAUGUUCGUUUCCUAUUACAGGUUGUCUAUAAUAUUUGUAUUGUGCACUGCCUUUCAAAAAGAAAUAUUUGUAUUGUCUAACCAAAGAAGUUCACAAUGUGGUUAAUUAAUUACUUAUACUACUUUCUGCAAGGCGUCGUGUAAUUCGUUGUUCACAUUUUUAUUAAGAUUCUACGUUUGACAUUAGAUAACUUGAAAAUCCUGGGAUUUCUUCGGUUAAUCAGUUUGUUCCAACUCCUUCAUCAAAUCAAGAUAUGCCAAAGCAUUUGCAUCAUUUUGCACGCCUAUUUUAGUAUGUUUAAUUUGUAAGGAUUAAGAUUUCUCUCUCGGUUUUCUAUGUAGGACCACGAGAAAGAUGCAACUAAUUUCAUUUUUGUGUCAUGUCUCACUUGGUUCUCAGCAUUUGCAAACAUGCAUGUCGGUAAGUAUGUACGAGCAUGAAACAUUAUUCUUGUUAUUCAUUGCCUAUCCAAAAUAAAUAAAUAAAAUAGUUUUUGUAUUCUUUAAUGGGAAAUGCUAAUUAACUUGUCUAUUUAUGAAAUCUUUAACAUGAGUCAUAAGGGUACAAGUUAACAAGACCCUUCAUUAAUUUACCAAGCUUGUUUAAUGUUUUAACUUCAGGGGACACACAAGGAAUGCGGUGAAAGGAAUUUAGCAACAAAUUCAAAAUUCUUUGUGCUUUUGUACCCAAAUAAAUAGAUAUGUUUUUUUUACCUGAAAUCAUUAAAAUUUCAGGUAACGAUAAGUUAAUUAUUAAAGGAGUAAUGCUAGCAACACUCUUUUGAACACACUCUUUAAUACUACAUUUCUUAUUGGUUUAAAUCAUUGUGAGUCUACACUUUGAAAAUUGAACCUACACAAAGUGAUGGGACAUACAUUAAUUUCAUCUAAUAAAAGAGUGGAUGCUACAAAGAGUGUUCAAAAAUAAAUGUUUCUAACAUUACUAUUAUUGAUGUGUUGCCUCUUAUCUCAUUUUAAUAAAAAUCUCACCACUAGUUCAUAUACUUUACCACUAGUUUCUCACACUACACAUUCUAACACUAGGGUUUAUAAUAUCAUUCUGAUUCACGAACUAGUUAAAAGAUGUUGUUUUUUCAAGGGCGAGGGUUUGGUUGUUGCUCUCUUAGUUGCACUCUUAUCCUUUGAAGUUGAUAAAUAAAUGAAACCAAUUACUUCGAUUGAUUAUGAAAGCUCAAAAGACAUAAGUAUAAGGUGUUUUGGAAAGUGGCCCAUAGACCAAAAUUAAUUCAGAUUUUUUUUCCGGUAAGGGUGAUUGAUUUGGUAAUAAUGACAUAUAAUUACAAGUCUAGCAAGACCCUAUUUGAAAAUGAUAGAUUACCAAAUGGAGUUUAUCUGAAAUCACUAGUGUCUCUUGGUUUAACUAUGUAGUGCUAUUAUUAAUUCUUACAAAUAAUUUAUUUGACAUAAUGACCGAAGUAAAUAAUACAUUAAGCUCUUCAAAAUGUUUGUGGAUGAUUUUUUCAUGUGCAUAAUACAAAAAAUAUAAUUCCACAAAAAAAUUGAUAGGAUCAAUUCAAUUUAAUAAGCCCUUGAAGGAAGAUGACAAUCGAGUCUGACAUGGCGUGCUGCAAUUUAAUUAACUCUUAAUCGCAAAUUAUUAAUAUGAUGGUGUUGGACGUUUCAUUUUGACUCCACAAAGUACACCUUAUUCUUCAUGUGUGUCUUACUUUUUAUUAAAUUGCUUUGGACUGGUUGUUCUAUUUUUUACCACACAAAGCACACCUUAUGCUUCAUUUGUGUCUUUAUUAAAUUGCUUUGCAUAUAUUAAAAAAUAAUAAUAAACAACAGGCACAUGUUUGGUGCAAGGAGAAAAUGUUAUUUAACAUGUCUGCAUUAUAUUGAAAUUGCAAGUGAUCUAAUUUUGAGUGUUUUGCAUAGAAAUCUUCUUUGUCAAGGCACUCUUCAGAUUCUCUAGAUCAAGCUACCAUCAUGGAGCUUCAAAACCCUUUUUCGAAUAUCAUCUUCAUGCUCUCCUUUCUCAUCCUCUUAGUUCUAUUCAAAAUAGUUCAAAGAUGGAGUUUUAACAAUUCCACUACCAAAUUGCCACCAGGACCAUGGAAACUACCCCUCAUAGGAAACUUACAUCAGAUUAUCAGCAGAUCAUUGCCCCAUCACCUCUUCAAAAAGUUGGCAGAAAAAUAUGGACCUUUGAUGCACCUUAAACUAGGAGAGGUACCAUAUGUAAUAGUUAGUUCACCAGAAAUGGCAAAAGAGGUUAUGAAAACACAUGACCUUACAUUUUGUGAUAGGCCAAACCUUCUUUUGUCAACAAUAUGGAGUUACAAUGCUACAAAUAUUGUCUUCGCUACAUACUGUGAACAUUGGAGGCAAGUACGAAAGAUAUGUGUUAUAGAGCUAUUAAGUGCAAAGCGUGUCCAAUCAUUUAGGUCCAUAAGAGAAGAUGAAGUGACAAAUCUUGUUAAAUCAAUAACUGCAAGUGAAGGAUCGGUUGUAAAUCUCACUCGGAAGAUUUUCUCAAUGACAAAUGGGAUAACAGCGCGGGCAGCUUUUGGGAAAAGGAAUAGAAACCAAGAUGUGUUCAUAUCAGCAAUGGAGAAAGUAUUGGUGCUAUUAGGAGGAUUUGAAAUUGCAGAUUUGUAUCCUUCUAUUAAAAUGCUUCAAUGCAUGAGUAGGGAGAAGACCAAAAUGGAAAAAAUUCAUAGAGAGCUUGAUAUGAUAAUGCAAGACAUCAUCGACGAUCACAGAAGCAUUCACAAGGAAGCAAGCAACGAUGAAGAUCUAGUAGAUGUUCUUCUCAAGAUUCAACAGGAAAAUUAUUACUCAGAACAUCCUUUAACCGAUGACAAUAUGAAAUCAAUCAUCCAGGUUAGUCUAAAACCAAAAGUGGUAGCAAGUUUAUUUCACAAUUUAAAAACUAGUUUAUAAAUUUGCAUAGCUUAGAAGUCUGAUUUCUAGAGGAAAAAUAAUUAGGAUUAUCUUGAUUAAUAAUAGUAAUUUGGAGAGAACAUCAAAUUAAUGACUUAACUUUUGGGUAGCGUUGUACGUAAUGUUAAUGUUAAUCCAUUUGUAGGAUAUGUUCAUUGCUGGUACCGAAACAUCGUCAGAGGUAUUGUUAUGGGCGAUGUCUGAGAUGGUAAAGAACCCAAAGGUAUUGGAAGAAGCACAGAUUGAAGUAAGAAGAGUGUUUGAUAAAAAGGGGUAUGUGGAUGAGUCAGAGUUGCACCAAUUGAUAUACUUAAAGUCUGUCGUCAAAGAAACAUUGAGGUUACAUCCCGUUGCACCAUUGUUAAUUCCAAGAGAAAGUAUGAAGCCAUGCCAAAUUAAUGGGUAUGAAAUCCCAGCUAAGACAAGGGUAAUGGUUAAUGCUUGGGCUAUUGGAAGAGAUUCAAGGUAUUGGGUUGAAGCUGAGAGUUUUAAACCUGAGAGGUUUGUUAAUAGCACAAUUGAAUUCAAAGGCACGGACUUCGAAUUCAUACCAUUUGGUGCUGGAAGGAGGAUGUGUCCCGGAAUUGCAUUUGCCCUACCAAACAUUGAGCUACCUCUUGCUCAAUUACUUUGCCACUUUGAUUGGAAGCUUCCCAAUAAAAUGAAGAAUGAAGAACUAGAUAUGACCGAGUCAUUUGGGAUUACUGUAGGAAGAAAGCACGAUCUAUGUUUAAUUCC
This 22037-nucleotide long non-coding RNA is filed under the name Medicago truncatula (barrel medic). Its description in RNAcentral is "long non-coding RNA (MTRU_LNC003691)". The stretch from base 19205 to 19283 matches the Rfam family "MIR5269 microRNA precursor family". The record is from RNAcentral. Lineage: Eukaryota; Viridiplantae; Streptophyta; Magnoliopsida; Fabales; Fabaceae.